Molecule: non-coding RNA, 267 nt
Organism: Vicia faba (fava bean)
Lineage: Eukaryota; Viridiplantae; Streptophyta; Magnoliopsida; Fabales; Fabaceae
Source: the annotation of a GenBank genome assembly
AUGGCGGAUGCUCAAACACAAAUCGAUUCUAUCAGGAAAUGGAUUGUUCAACACAAACUCCGUACUGUUGGUUGCUUGUGGCUUAGUGGUAUUACCGGUUCAAUUGCGUACAAUUGGUCUCGACCUAACAUGAAAACCAGUGUUAAAAUCAUUCACGCCAGGUUGCAUGCUCAGGGUCUUACUCUGGCAGCAUUAGCAGGAGCUGCAUUGGUAGAAUAUUAUGAUCACAAGUCUGAUGAAAGGGCUGCAAGGGAUUCUAGGCAUUGA